CAGAAAAUUUAAUUUUACUGUGUGUGUGUGUGUAUAUAUAUAUAUAUAUAUACACACAGUAAAAUUAAAUUUUCUGUU
Non-coding RNA from Podarcis lilfordi (Lilford's wall lizard), 78 nucleotides. Lineage: Eukaryota; Metazoa; Chordata; Lepidosauria; Squamata; Lacertidae. The record is from the annotation of a GenBank genome assembly.